GUAGCUCUCACAGCAUCAUUACCGCCCAAUCAGAUUGUCACACAUUUAUUAAUUCCUUCUCUCUAGAACUUAAAGGAUUCAUAGAGGUUGUCCAGUCUAUCUUUCCCCACUGAGGUCCAGAAAGUGACUUGGGAAGGUCAUACAAGUAACAAGUGAGAAAGCUGGGAUUCAAACUCAGUGCUUAGUACAAUUCCUGGAACAUGAUGGGCCUGAAGUUAAUCAUCUCAUUGAAUUUCCUCCUGCCUUCAUAUGGAUAAAUUAUUUCAAGAGGAUUAUCCAGGUCAGUCACACUUAAAUCAUUGACAGUACUCACUCAU
RNAcentral lists this long non-coding RNA (317 nucleotides) under Monodelphis domestica (gray short-tailed opossum). RNAcentral describes it as "lncRNA (ENSMODG00000031778.2)". The record is from RNAcentral. Lineage: Eukaryota; Metazoa; Chordata; Mammalia; Didelphimorphia; Didelphidae.